Long non-coding RNA from Humulus lupulus (European hop), 733 nucleotides. RefSeq lists it as uncharacterized. The record is from RefSeq and is a predicted model, not a curated record. The transcript is spliced from 5 exons. Lineage: Eukaryota; Viridiplantae; Streptophyta; Magnoliopsida; Rosales; Cannabaceae.
CUUUCUCUCUCUCUCCUUUCCCCGCCCACUCUCUCUCAUCAGUGAUCUUUUUCUCACUUCACGACAAUAUCUCCUCCAAUUCUCUGUCUUUUCUCUCGCGACUCUGGCUCCGAUGAAGCUCUUCUCUCCUAUGCCGCAUACGAUUUUCUCUCUCUUUGGAUUUGUGAGCCGUAUGAGAUGCAACUAGUUCUUUUGAUUGGCACAAAGCUACAACAUAUUAUUGCGACCCUGGCACAAGAGAAUGCUGGUUUAAGAGUUCAUGGAGAAAGGAAGAGGCCAGGGAUGAUCUUUUCUGGUUUUAGAAGCCAGAACUUCCGUUAUCACUGAUCCAUUUUUGUUCUAUUCCAGUGGAGGUUCUCUGGGAAUAAUGGUGGUCUUUAUGGUGAAAAGGGCAUUGUCACUGGAAGAAAAUGUCCCAAGGGCCUCUAUGGCACUUACUGCAGGGAAUGCCCCAUUGGCACAUAUAAAGAUACUGAUGGCUUAGAUGACAAUCUUUGUGUUCCUUGUUCACUUGAUCUUCUUCCUAGUCGUGCUGAGUUCAUAUAUAUAUGCGAGUGGUAGAGGGAUUUGAUUCAAUGGCUCUCACUUCACGACCAUCACGGGUACCUGCAAAGCUAUUCUUAUGGUAUUCUCCGUUGAUGUCGCAUUAGAGUUUUAAGGUCUAUGCUACUUUAUUCACUCCAAUCGCGCUAUGGAUUUCGUGGAUGACCAAGUGUAUAUGAUCGACUCCUAA